GAUGAACGCUGGCGGCGUGCUUAACACAUGCAAGUCGAACGAAGCACUUAAAUUUGAUUCUUCGGAUGAAGAUUUUUGUGACUGAGUGGCGGACGGGUGAGUAACGCGUGGGUAACCUGCCUCAUACAGGGGGAUAACAGUUAGAAAUGACUGCUAAUACCGCAUAAGCGCACGGUGUCGCAUGACACAGUGUGAAAAACUCCGGUGGUAUGAGAUGGACCCGCGUCUGAUUAGCUAGUUGGCGAGGUAACGGCCCACCAAGGCGAUGAUCAGUAGCCGGACUGAGAGGUUGACCGGCCACAUUGGGACUGAGAUACGGCCCAG
RNAcentral lists this ribosomal RNA (324 nucleotides) under uncultured bacterium. RNAcentral's name for it is "bacterial SSU rRNA". It matches the Rfam family "Bacterial small subunit ribosomal RNA", at positions 28 to 334 of the family's 1533-position model. The record is from RNAcentral.